Molecule: unclassified non-coding RNA, 426 nt
Filed under: Hevea brasiliensis (rubber tree)
Lineage: Eukaryota; Viridiplantae; Streptophyta; Magnoliopsida; Malpighiales; Euphorbiaceae
Source: RNAcentral
CAGAUUUCAGUGCUGUCUCUUCGGCAGAAAUGCUCCAAGGACUCCAUCAGACAGCUCGUGAUUGCUUCUUUCCUAUUCAAAGCACGCGUUCCAUUCCAAUCCGGGAUUUUUACUUGAGUUUUAGAGCAUUUAGAGAUCCUGAAGUUCAGAUAGAUGAAUACAAGGAAGCUACUUUAGGGUGUCCGGUAACUUUUCAGUCUGAUAAUAGUUUGGCCUCAGGAGGAUAUGAUCUGCAAGUAGAAGGACAGCCUCCUCCGAAUGUUCUUCCUAAGAAGAGAGGUGGAAAGAAAAGUGAUGGAAUAAAUGCAACUGGUCCCAAGUUUAGCUCUAAAACCAACUUACCUAGGAUGACUGCAGAUGGUACCAGUAUGAAUGGCUCUCCCCUGAUUGAUUCUGUACAGACAGGACCUGAUACACUCAAAAAAG